GGGGGCGCUCCGGUUUCGACGGGGAGUGGUCACCGCGGCAGGGGCAGGCCGAGGACGUCAUCUGGUCUCGUAAACCACGGUGGCACAACCAAAGAGUGCAGACGAAACUCUCGCUCUGGCUGCCUGAUUAGGCGGCCCGUCUCCCCGGGGUUUGCCCGCGUCCCCGGACGAGGCGUCGACCAGCGGGCUGGCCGACGAGGGCCGUUCGUCCCUCCGAGGUGAGACCCCAACGAACUAGCGGCGGCGGCUUGGGCGCCGAAUCCCUGGCCGCCGUGGCGAAUCCUCAAGUUCGGCUAAGCCUGUAGUCCCUGUCCGGCGAGCUCUUCGGACGCGGGUUCGACUCCCGCCGCCUCCACCA
RNAcentral lists this transfer-messenger RNA (358 nucleotides) under Candidatus Sumerlaeia. RNAcentral's name for it is "JABWBI01 sp013360565 Standard tmRNA". It matches the Rfam family "transfer-messenger RNA". Rfam says of the family: Bacterial tmRNA, also known as 10Sa RNA or SsrA, is named for its dual tRNA and mRNA-like properties. Its role is to liberate the mRNA from a stalled ribosome. RNAcentral also lists the same sequence under 1 other name. Lineage: Bacteria; Candidatus Sumerlaeota. The record is from RNAcentral.